This 223-nucleotide long non-coding RNA is filed under the name Rhinopithecus bieti (black snub-nosed monkey). Its description in RNAcentral is "lncRNA (ENSRBIG00000045101.1)". The record is from RNAcentral. Lineage: Eukaryota; Metazoa; Chordata; Mammalia; Primates; Cercopithecidae.
ACAUAAUCCCCUUUGCCAAAAAACCUUAAAACAGAAUAGUUUCCUUUCACUUUGCAGGAUUUCAAUGCAAUUCUAUCAAGUCGGGAAGGCAAAUAACUACUUAAUCCCCCAGCAAAAAGAGCUCCAUCACCUGCAAAAUCUCAACUUUUCUUUUUCAUCUAGGAAUAUGAGUGCUAUAAAAGAGGUUACUGCUGCCAUGAAAAUAGGGAUCAACUGGGCCUAA